Molecule: ribosomal RNA, 253 nt
Filed under: uncultured bacterium
Lineage: Bacteria
Description: partial 16S ribosomal RNA
Rfam family: Bacterial small subunit ribosomal RNA
Source: RNAcentral
UACAGAGGUCCCAAGCGUUGUUCGGAUUCAUUGGGCGUAAAGGGUGCGUAGGUGGCGCUGUAAGUCGGGUGUGAAAUUUCGGAGCUUAACUCCGAAACUGCAUUCGAUACUGCGGUGCUUGAGGACUGGAGAGGAGACUGGAAUUCAUGGUGUAGCAGUGAAAUGCGUAGAGAUCAUGAGGAAGACCAGUGGCGAAGGCGGGUCUCUGGACAGUUACUGACACUGAGGCACGAAGGCCAGGGGAGCAAACGGG